CCCUUAGAUGUUCUGGGCCGCACGCGCGCUACACUGAUGCAUUCAACGAGCCUAUCCUUGACCGACAGGUCCGGGUAAUCUUUGAAUCUGCAUCGUGACGGGGAUAGAUUAUUGCAAUUAUUAAUCUUCAACGAGGAAUGCCUAGUAGGCGCAAGUCAUCAGCUUGCGUUGAUUACGUCCCUGCCCUUUGUACACACCGCCCGUCGCUCCUACCGAUUGGGUGUGCUGGUGAAAUGUUCGGAUCGGCCGUUUGUCGCGGUUUCCGCGGCUCGUGGCUGAGAAGUUCAUUAAACCCUCCCACCUAGAGGAAGGAGAAGUCGUAACA
This 325-nucleotide ribosomal RNA is filed under the name uncultured eukaryote. RNAcentral's name for it is "partial 18S ribosomal RNA". It matches the Rfam family "Eukaryotic small subunit ribosomal RNA", at positions 1470 to 1796 of the family's 1831-position model. The record is from RNAcentral.